RNAcentral lists this ribosomal RNA (116 nucleotides) under Larimichthys crocea (large yellow croaker). The record is from RNAcentral. Lineage: Eukaryota; Metazoa; Chordata; Actinopteri; Sciaenidae.
GCUUACGGCCAUACUACCCUGAAUGCUCCCGAUCUCGUCUAUCGAAGCUAACAGCGGGUCAGGCCUGGUUAGUACUUGGAUGGGAGACCGCCUGGGAAUACCAGGUGCUGUAAGCU